UCCAAUCUGCUCACUGAAAAAUUAAAGAGCCGCAGUAUUUUGACUGUGCAAAGGUAGCAUAAUCAAUAGUUUUUUAAUUGAAAACUUGUAUGAAAGAUUAGACGAGAAAUUUAUUUUCUUUAUUUUAAAAAAUUAAAUUUUAAUUUUAAGUGAAAAUGCUUAAUUGUUUAUAAAAGACGAGAAGACCCUAUAGAUUUUUAUUAUUUAAUUAAAUUUUAUAACUUGAUUUAUUAAAAUAAUUUCAUUGGGGUGAUUUUGUAAUAUAACGAACUUAAUUUUUAAAAACCAUAAAUAAUUGAAAUUGUUGGUCUAAAAUUUUUAAAGAAAAGAUUAAAUUACCUUAGGGAUAACAGCGUAAUUUUUUUUAAGAGUUCAUAUCUAUAAAGAAGCUUGCGACCUCGAUGUUGAAUUAAGAUAAUAUAUUGAAGUAG
Molecule: ribosomal RNA, 431 nt
Filed under: Trichadenotecnum sp. Tiger9
Lineage: Eukaryota; Metazoa; Arthropoda; Insecta; Psocodea; Psocidae
Description: partial 16S rRNA
Source: RNAcentral